Molecule: ribosomal RNA, 292 nt
Filed under: uncultured microorganism
Description: partial 16S ribosomal RNA
Rfam family: Bacterial small subunit ribosomal RNA
Source: RNAcentral
GUGCCAGCAGCCGCGGUAAUACGUAGGGGGCAAGCGUUGUCCGGAAUUAUUGGGCGUAAAGCGCUCGCAGGCGGUCCUUUAAGUCUGAUGUGAAAUCUCGCGGCUCAACCGCGAACGGUCAUUGGAAACUGGAGGACUUGAGUACAGAAGAGGAGAGUGGAAUUCCACGUGUAGCGGUGAAAUGCGUAGAGAUGUGGAGGAACACCAGUGGCGAAGGCGACUCUCUGGUCUGUAACUGACGCUGAGGAGCGAAAGCGUGGGGAGCGAACAGGAUUAGAUACCCUGGUAGUCC